CACGGAGUUAGCCGGUGCUUAUUCGUUAGGUACCGUCAUUGUUCUUCCCUAACAAAAGGAGUUUACGCUCCGAAAAGUGUCAUCCUCCACGCGGCGUUGCUGCUUCAGGGUUUCCCCCAUUGAGCAAUAUUCCCUACUGCUGCCUCCCGUAGGAGUCUGGACCGUGUCUCAGUUCCAGUGUGACUGAUCAUCCUCUCAGACCAGUUAUGCGUCAUAGCCUUGGUGAGCCAUUACCUCACCAACUAGCUGAUACAAUAUAGCCUCAUCCUACACCGAAAAACUUUCCCUAUCUAACUUAUGCUAGAGAGGAGUAUAGAGUAUUAGCAGUCGUUUCCAACUGUUGUCCUCUAGUGUAGGGCAGAUUAGCUAUACAUUACUCACCCGUGCGCCACUAACUCAUAAGAGCAAGCUCUUACUCGUCCGUUCGACUUGCAUGUAUUAGGCACGCCGCCAGCGUUCACUCUGAGCCAGGAUCAAACUCU
RNAcentral lists this ribosomal RNA (482 nucleotides) under uncultured Campylobacter sp. Its description in RNAcentral is "partial 16S ribosomal RNA". Lineage: Bacteria; Pseudomonadati; Campylobacterota; Epsilonproteobacteria; Campylobacterales; Campylobacteraceae. The record is from RNAcentral.